This is a long non-coding RNA of Dermochelys coriacea (leatherback sea turtle), 146 nucleotides long. RefSeq lists it as uncharacterized. The transcript is spliced from 3 exons. The record is from RefSeq and is a predicted model, not a curated record. NCBI's taxonomy places the organism in Eukaryota, Metazoa, Chordata, Testudines, Dermochelyidae.
GUUUCUCCAUCCCCUCUCCCUUAAGGAUUUUAAAUCCACUUCUUAGCAGGCUAUGAUAAAAAGACUGGCUGAAUAGGCUAAAGGCAGGUUCUGUCCAUUUGCUGAUUCUCUAGCAGUUCAAUCCAUCAUAAAAGAGAUCUGAAGAG